Molecule: long non-coding RNA, 4325 nt
Organism: Hirundo rustica (Barn swallow)
Lineage: Eukaryota; Metazoa; Chordata; Aves; Passeriformes; Hirundinidae
Exons: 3
Source: RefSeq, a predicted model, not a curated record
UGGUGGUUGGGACGUUCUCCAGAACUCUCCGUAUGGGAGAGCACAGGGAAGUGGAAAACAAGGGAUGAUUUAUUUCCCAGGAAGCUGCACUAGGUAGCAGUGGAAAUGAAAGCAAUCCUAUUUCCCACGCAGGCUCCACCAAUCUUUUGAAAUGCUGAAGAUCACAUCUUGAGGGAAUUUGUUGGAGCCUUUGAAGUAUUUUUAUGUUAGGCCCCUAUGGCAGAAGAUUGUACAGAUCAAGAAAGUACCGAGUAGAUUUAUUCACAGAAAAUGCAUUUAAAUUACCCAGCUAUACGGGUGCACGUUCUUCAUUUAUAGCCUGGUGUUUGGGCCCUGAAAUCCUCCCAAGAAUUGAGGUCAUAGAAUUGGAAAAUGAGCUUCUGUACACCAUCCUUCUGGCCUUUCGGAUGUAAUGGAGUCUGCACUGUGUGGUAAAUUGGACGGAAUUCAGAGAAGAGCAACAAAAACAAUUAAGGGAGGAGAGGAACUGACUUACAUGGAAAGAUUAAAGCAUUACAAAUUUGUGGCUUGGUGAUGCAGAGACUACCGCGAGUCAUUGGAAGUUUCUGGAGACAGGAAUGCGGCUUCAAAAAUCCCUGGCCUUGUCUGAACAUGGUUUUGUUUGUGUGUUUGUUUUAAAGGAAAACCUUUUCCGAGCAAUAUCCUCAUCUGGUGUAACUUACCCCAGUGCCAGUGAAAACAAUGGAGCCGGGUGUUCUGGGCCACGUUACACUGUCUAAACAUGUGGCCCUUGCACUCUUUUAAAACUGGCACAGCGGUGCCAGAACUCAGAGUGGUUAAAUGGGGAAGAUUUUUGUACGUCUCCCUUCUACAGCACCCCUGCAAAAUGCUGGCAAGAGCCAGCAAACUUAAAAUGUUGAAUUCCUCAGCUGAAUGGUGGCAGAUAAUGGACAGGGAGGGGCAUCUCUGUUACCUUGUUCUUCACAUGCUCUUGCAGGAAUAAGGGCAGCUUUUGGACCGGCAGAGAACAGCCUGAAACAGCCCCAGAAAAUGCGGGAUGUUGCCACGGGAGGUUCUGAGGGGCUGCAGGUGUAACCCAGCCCUGGGUGUGCGUGGCUCUUAUGCAGAGGAGCAGCUCACGGGUACCCCGGGUACCGAGCGGAGCUGGCUGGGGUGGGCACAGCAGCUCAGCUGUCCGGCCCCAAAAAGUUCUGUCCUCGCAGAGGGGAUCGGGGUGGUGGCUGCUCUGCAGGCACAAGGCACGGAUUGUUCCUCGUGGUCCACAGGGAUCGAGUUACGGUGAGGCUGAGCAAUUAAAAACGUGGGCUGGCUCUGAGGAAAAUGAAGUGUGAAGCCCGUUGGACUGCGGAACAGUCUUGGAAGAGAAGUGAUGGAGGCCCUGGUGCUUGGGAAGUGGGACUUGUCCUGGGGAUGGAGCGUUAAUUGAGGCACCGUGGCCAAAUUUGAAGCGAGAGGUUAAUUCCUGGCUCCCUCGCCUGCUCCCUGCUCCAGCUGGGCACGGAGUGAUUCCAGCCCAGGGCUGGAGCGCUUGGCUGCACGGGCAGCUGAGAAGCUGCCACCUUUCCCAUCAGUGAUUGCUUUUAUGGGAUGGGUGAAGCUGCCAGGGACAGGGGAGGAGAUGGAAAGGUGGCAUCAUCUGCGUGGAAGUUGCUCCAAAUAGAGUUUCCUUUGAAAGUCAUGGUCUUCACUGAGGGGGGAAAGGGGACAAACCACCAAGAUUGGAACUAAUUUUGAGCCUUACCAGUGGCACCCAAACAGCAAAAGGCCUAAAGGGCCAGUGGAGAUUGUGUUGCCAUUGCCUCCAUCCUGAUUUUCUUUGGGUCAGGGGUGAGGAGCAGCGAGUGCCCCAUUCCUGCUCAUCCCAGCUCAGUGGAUGAACAGGAGGGAGCAGCGAGUGCCCCAUUCCUGCUCAUCCCAGCUCAGUGGAUGAACAGGAGGGAGCAGUGAGUGCCCCAUUCCUGCUCAUCCCAGCUCAGUGGAUGAACAGGAGGGAGCAGUGAGUGCCCCAUUCCUGCUCAUCCCAGCUCAGUGGAUGAACAGGAGGGAGCAGUGAGUGCCCCAUUCCUGCUCAUCCCAGCUCAGUGGAUGAACAGGAGGGAGCAGUGAGUGCCCCAUUCCUGCUCAUCCCAGCUCAGUGGAUGAACAGGAGGGAGCAGUGAGUGCCCCAUUCCUGCUCAUCCCAGCUCAGUGGAUGAACAGGAGGGAGCAGCGAGUGCCCCAUUCCUGCUCAUCCCAGCUCAGUGGAUGAACAGGAGGGAGCAGUGAGCGCCCCAUUCCUCAUCCCAGCACUGCCCAGCUCAGAGGGUGAGAGGAAGGAGCUCACCCUCCUGAGAUGAGUGUUUGGAGAACAGGGAUUUGGAGUGUGAGAAGGAGGCAGCAGACAGGAAUACCGAAUGUGGACUGAGGAUGCCGGGGGAAUUGUUUCCAUAGAAACCCGACCAUGGAGGCUCACGCUGCUCCCCCAUCUCAGACUUACAAAUUCAUGUGAUUUGCCUUCAUGGUCAACAGAAUGCCUGGAGAGGAGGUGGGUGAUUAGGAAAAUUCGGGUUUGCUGCAGAUGUGGGAGCGCUGUGCUGGAUUCCCUGUCUGAGGGAACUGGGAGUGGCCCCUAGGCUGGGAUGUGCUGGAGUAAAUCAGGAUUAACCCCUGGGCACUGCAUGGUGCCCUACUGGUGUCAAACAAAGGGAAUCAGGCCUAGCUUAUUUUAGUUAAAUGAAGGGGAAAAAAAAAAAAAAGGUUUUCAUUUGCUUCAUUGCAUUGUUCUCCCACCUUUGCUGGCCAGGCCUUUUGCAGACAUCAUCUCUGCCUGCACACCCACAGCAUUCAGAAAUGCCUCAGGAAAUGUUCUGAAAUGUCCUCCAUGCAAGCACAGGCCUCUCCUUGCCAGAAUUUAUGAGGGGCCCUGGGAGCCUGUUUCCUUCGUUUGUUCCUGGAAAGAUUUCUUCUUGGAAAAUCCAAGAUGUUUAGGACUAAUUUAUGUUCCUCCAGUCCCUUCAAAGAAACCAACACCUCCAAGAGCUCCCACAAACCCCCAAAUGCAGCACCCACCUAGGAGUCAAAGUUUGUGUGGGAGAAGAGGCUAAAGGAGGUCAGAGAACCCCAAAUGAAAUGUGGAGGUGCCAAGGUUUGGUGUAAAUGUGGGGUUGGGUUCCUCUGACCAUCUCCUGGAGUUUGAUUUGGGCUCAGCUGAUCGGGGCUGUCUGAUUUUUUUUUUUUUUUAAGUAUCCAAGCUUCACAAUCCACAAACUUCAUCUUUUAUUCUCUUUUUAGAAGAGAAUAUUGGUGUGGAGGGGAGAGGAGAGCAGGAAGUGGAGAUUUGGACAGUUUUGGACAUGAUUUGCCCACUAUCCCAUUCUCCAAGGAAUGGCUCCACAACCAGAAAUGUACAUGAUGUUAUUUUUCUGGCUGCACAUGGAGGGAAAAGCAAAAUCAAGGCUGAAAUUCAGGGGGAAAUGACUCCCAUCUCUCCUCCUGGUUUCCCCAGCCUCUCAAAAACUUGCUGGAGACCCUGAGAUCCUUAAGAGUGACCCAGCUCUGGGCUGGUCUCUUGAUAAGCACAGAUAAUGCUCCUACAGCUCCGAGAGGAAAACAUCUGAGGUUCAGGAAGGGUCAGCCAGGAAUGACAGCUGCAAAUAUGCAGGGAAAUCAAAGAGCUGCAGGGUUCCACCCAGGAGAGAGGAGAGCCCCAAAGCAGGAUUUGCAGGAAGAGAUACCCAGAGAGGAGCGUUUUUCCUCUCAGAUUUGUGAGAGUUCAAUGUUAACCCCGAGCCAUGUCUCUCUUGCUUUGUUUUGGAAAUGCUCUCCCUUGGACUCACUGCUUUUCCAGGGCUCCUCAGUUGCCUGAUUUUUUGUGGUGAAUGGAGCAAUAUUUGAUAUUUUCCUCAAGGAUCUGGACUGUGAAGUGAGAGGGGAGUGUGUCUGCAGCGUUGAGGUGCCCUAAUUUCAGCUGAAACCUCUGUGUGAUGCUAAAAUUGAAAUUCUGGCUUCAAUAGAGUUAAUUUUCCUCCUAGGAGCCAGCACGGGGCUGUGUUUUGGAACUGUGCUGACAACAGUGCUGAUAGCACAGGGAUGUUUUAGUUCCAGCUGGGCAGGGUUUGCACAGAGCCCUUUUUUUGCACUAAUAAGGGUGCACAGGGAGCUGGGAGGGGGCACAGCCAGGACAAGUGACCCUGAGUGACCACAGGGGUAACUCAGACCAUGCUCAACAUAAAAAAAACCUGAGCAGCCGCUCUGGAUUUCUCAAAACAAGGAGAGAAAUGGUGCAGCCUGUUCCCAAACCCUUUCUUUGAGCAAACAUCUGCUCUGUUACUGUUGGAAGGAGAAAAUUCUUAAUUUACUGAUUU